GCUAAUACCGAAUGUGCCCUUCGGGGGAAAGAUUUAUCGCCUUUAGAGCGGCCCGCGUCUGAUUAGCUAGUUGGUGGGGUAAUGGCCCACCAAGGCUACGAUCAGUAGCUGGUCUGAGAGGAUGACCAGCCACAUUGGGACUGAGACACGGCCCAAACUCCUACGGGAGGCAGCAGUGGGGAAUCUUGCGCAAUGGGCGAAAGCCUGACGCAGCCAUGCCGCGUGUAUGAUGAAGGUCUUAGGAUUGUAAAAUACUUUCACCGGUGAAGAUAAUGACUGUAGCCGGAGAAGAAGCCCCGGCUAACUUCG
This 309-nucleotide ribosomal RNA is filed under the name uncultured bacterium. Its description in RNAcentral is "bacterial SSU rRNA". It matches the Rfam family "Bacterial small subunit ribosomal RNA", at positions 162 to 505 of the family's 1533-position model. The record is from RNAcentral.